This 497-nucleotide ribosomal RNA is filed under the name uncultured bacterium. RNAcentral's name for it is "partial 16S ribosomal RNA". It matches the Rfam family "Bacterial small subunit ribosomal RNA", at positions 28 to 507 of the family's 1533-position model. The record is from RNAcentral.
GAUGAACGCUGGCGGCGUGCCUAAUACAUGCAAGUCGAGCGAACGAACGAGAAGCUUGCUUCUCUGAUGUUAGCGGCGGACGGGUGAGUAACACGUGGAUAACCUACCUAUAAGACUGGGAUAACUUCGGGAAACCGGAGCUAAUACCGGAUAAUAUUUUGAACCGCAUGGUUCAAAAGUGAAAGACGGUCUUGCUGUCACUUAUAGAUGGAUCCGCGCUGCAUUAGCUAGUUGGUAAGGUAACGGCUUACCAAGGCAACGAUGCAUAGCCGACCUGAGAGGGUGAUCGGCCACACUGGAACUGAGACACGGUCCAGACUCCUACGGGUGGCAGCAGUAGGGAAUCUUCCGCAAUGGGCGAAAGCCUGACGGAGCAACGCCGCGUGAGUGAUGAAGGUCUUCGGAUCGUAAAACUCUGUUAUUAGGGAAGAACAUAUGUGUAAGUAACUGUGCACAUCUUGACGGUACCUAAUCAGAAAGCCACGGCUAACUACGUG